Molecule: ribosomal RNA, 253 nt
Filed under: uncultured bacterium
Lineage: Bacteria
Description: partial 16S ribosomal RNA
Rfam family: Bacterial small subunit ribosomal RNA
Source: RNAcentral
UACGUAGGCAGCGAGCGUUGUUCGGAGUUACUGGGCGUAAAGCGUGCGUAGGCGGUGUCUUAAGUUUGGUGUGAAAUCUCCCGGCUUAACCGGGAGGGUGCGCCGAAGACUGGGAUGCUUGAGUGCGGGAGAGGUAAGCGGAAUUCCCGGUGUAGAGGUGAAAUUCGUAGAUAUCGGGAGGAACACCAGUGGCGAAGGCGGCGACCUGGGCCAAUAUUGACGCUGAGGUGCGAAAGCGUGGGGAGCAAACAGG